CCUACGGGGGGCAGCAGUGAGGAAUAUUGGUCAAUGGGCGCGAGCCUGAACCAGCCAAGUCGCGUGAGGGAAGACGGCCCUACGGGUUGUAAACCUCUUUUGCCGGGGAGCAACGGGCGCCACGUGUGGCGCCACUGAGAGUACCCGGAGAAAAAGCAUCGGCUAACUCCGUGCCAGCAGCCGCGGUAAUACGGAGGAUGCGAGCGUUAUCGGGAUUUAUUGGGUUUAAAGGGUGCGUAGGCGGGGCGUUAAGUCAGUGGUAAAAUGGAGGGGCUCAACCCCUUCCCGCCAUUGAAACUGGCGCUCUUGAGUGGAAGAGAGGUAUGCGGAAUGCGAGGUGUAGCGGUGAAAUGCGUAGAUAUCGCGCAGAACCCCGAUGGCGAAGGCAGCAUGCCGGCUUCCUACUGACGCUGAGGCACGAAAGCGUGGGGAUCGAACAGGAUUAGAUACCCUUGUAGUC
This 460-nucleotide ribosomal RNA is filed under the name uncultured bacterium. Its description in RNAcentral is "partial 16S ribosomal RNA". It matches the Rfam family "Bacterial small subunit ribosomal RNA", at positions 338 to 795 of the family's 1533-position model. The record is from RNAcentral.